GUGCUCACUUCAGCAGCACAUAUACUGAAAAACUGGAACAAUACAGAGAAGAUUAGCACAGCCCCUAAACAAGAAUGACCUGCAAAUUUGUGAAGCAUUCCAUAUUAAA
Small nuclear RNA from Hyaena hyaena (striped hyena), 109 nucleotides. The record is from RefSeq and is a predicted model, not a curated record. NCBI's taxonomy places the organism in Eukaryota, Metazoa, Chordata, Mammalia, Carnivora, Hyaenidae.